Molecule: non-coding RNA, 71 nt
Organism: Spinacia oleracea (spinach)
Lineage: Eukaryota; Viridiplantae; Streptophyta; Magnoliopsida; Caryophyllales; Amaranthaceae
Source: Rfam
AACCUAUUAGCUCAAAUGGGAGAGCAAUGUGCUAUGGCACAUGAAUGUAGGUUCAAAUCCUACAUAGGUUG